GAUGUGAUGGAAUUUGAAGCUAGGGAAUACAGCCAUGCAGCAGCACGAUCCUCUAAAGUCAUGGGAAAUAACCUUAAUUUAAUACCCUCUUCAUCUAAAUUUUGAUUUCUAAAUAUUUGACAGAUUGUCAAAAAUUUGUUUAGAUGAAUAUAGGGUUGUUCACUCUCGAACCCAUGAAACUUGGGUAACAUAUUUAUUGUUGCAGCCCGAAUUUCAAAUUGGGCUGCAUUAU
Molecule: long non-coding RNA, 232 nt
Filed under: Phoenix dactylifera (date palm)
Lineage: Eukaryota; Viridiplantae; Streptophyta; Magnoliopsida; Arecales; Arecaceae
Description: long non-coding RNA (PDAC_LNC021290)
Source: RNAcentral